This 253-nucleotide long non-coding RNA is filed under the name Ananas comosus (pineapple). Its description in RNAcentral is "long non-coding RNA (ACOM_LNC013188)". Lineage: Eukaryota; Viridiplantae; Streptophyta; Magnoliopsida; Poales; Bromeliaceae. The record is from RNAcentral.
UAUUUCUUAUAAUUAUUUUGUAUUUUGAACUAUUGGACAUGUUGCAUCAAAUUGUAGGUAAUGUUCUAUAAAAAUUAAAUUAUUGAUUAUAUAAUGUCGAGAAUUUCAAUCGGCUCGUUUAGAGUUCGAGCUCGGCUCGACUCGAAAUUAGGCUCGCUCGAGCUCGGCUCGAAUUAAUUUCAAGCCGAGCUUGAGCCUAGAUUUAGGCUCGAAAUUAAUUUCAAGCCGAAUUUGAGCUCACAUAAGCUCGCUC